AAGAGGGAACCCGGUGCGAAUCCGGGACUGCCCCGCAGCGGUGAGCGGGAACGACCGCCGUCAUACGCACUGGACCGCCGGUCCGGGAAGCGACGGCCAUUAGGUGUCCGCCGGUACGAGUCCGGCGGGUGUGCCCGCGAGUCCGAAGACCU
This 152-nucleotide non-coding RNA is filed under the name Streptomyces sp. Lineage: Bacteria; Bacillati; Actinomycetota; Actinomycetes; Kitasatosporales; Streptomycetaceae. The record is from RNAcentral.